CAGGACAAACGCUGGCGGCGUGCCUAACACAUGCAAGUCGAACGAAGCACUGUGGAAAGAGACUCGGUCAAUUGAAACUUUGACUUAGUGGCGGACGGGUGAGUAAUGCAUGAGCAACCUGCCCUGGAGAGGGGGGACAACAGCUGGAAACGGCUGCUAAUACCGCAUGAUGUCACCGGGAGGCAUCUCCUGGUGACCAAAGAUUUAUCGCUCUGGGAUGGGCUCAUGUCUGAUUAGAUAGUUGGCGGGGCAACGGCCCACCAAGUCUGCGAUCAGUAGCCGGACUGAGAGGUUGAACGGCCACAUUGGGACUGAGAUACGGCCCAGACUCCUACGGGAGGCAGCAGUGGGGAAUAUUGGGCAAUGGGCGCAAAGCCUGACCCAGCAACGCCGCGUGAAGGAAGAAGGCUUUCGGGUUGUAAACUUCUUUUAUCAGGGACGAAGAAAGUGACGGUACCUGAUGAAUAAGCCACGGCUAACUACGUGCCAGCAGCCGC
Molecule: ribosomal RNA, 497 nt
Filed under: uncultured bacterium
Lineage: Bacteria
Description: bacterial SSU rRNA
Rfam family: Bacterial small subunit ribosomal RNA
Source: RNAcentral